Molecule: ribosomal RNA, 264 nt
Filed under: uncultured bacterium
Lineage: Bacteria
Description: partial 16S ribosomal RNA
Rfam family: Bacterial small subunit ribosomal RNA
Source: RNAcentral
CGGAGGGGGCGUAGCGUUGUUCGGAAUUACUGGGGCGUAAAGCGCACGUAGGCGGGACCAGAAAGUUAGGGGGUGGAAAGUCCCGGGGCGUCAACCUCGGAACUGCCUUCAAAACUAAUUGGUCUUGAGUUCGAGAGAGGUGAGUGGAAUUCCGAGUGUAGAGGUGAAAUUCGUAGAUAUUCGGAGGAACACCAGUGGCGAAGGCGGCUCACUGGCUCGGAUACUGACGCUGAGGUGCGAAAGACGUGGGGAGCAAACAGGAUU